This 457-nucleotide ribosomal RNA is filed under the name uncultured Sphingobacteriales bacterium. RNAcentral describes it as "bacterial SSU rRNA". It matches the Rfam family "Bacterial small subunit ribosomal RNA", at positions 923 to 1382 of the family's 1533-position model. Lineage: Bacteria; Pseudomonadati; Bacteroidota; Sphingobacteriia; Sphingobacteriales. The record is from RNAcentral.
GCACAAGCGGUGGAGCAUGUGGUUUAAUUCGAUGAUACGCGAGGAACCUUACCUGGGCUCAAAUGUAUGUUGACGUAUUCUGAAAGGGAUACUUCUUCGGACAAUAUACAAGGUGCUGCAUGGUUGUCGUCAGCUCGUGCCGUGAGGUGUCGGGUUAAGUCCCAUAACGAGCGCAACCCCUAUCAUUAGUUGCCAUCAGGUCAAGCUGGGGACUCUAAUGAAACUGCCUACGCAAGUAGUGAGGAAGGUGGGGAUGACGUCAAAUCAGCACGGCCCUUACGUCCAGGGCUACACACGUGCUACAAUGGCCGGUACAAAGGGCAGCUACCUGGUGACAGGAUGCUAAUCUCAAAAGCCGGUCUCAGUUCGGAUCGGAGUCUGCAACCCGACUCCGUGAAGCUGGAAUCGCCAGUAAUCGCGCAUCAGCCAUGGCGCGGUGAAUACGUUCCCGGGCCUU